AUACUUACCUGGCAGGGGAGAUACCAUGAUCACGAAGGUGGUUUUCCCAGGGCGAGGCUUAUCCUUUGCACUCCGGAUGUGCUGACCCCUGCGAUUUCCCCAAAUGUGGGAAACUCGACUGCAUAAUUUGUGGUAGUGGGGGACUGCGUUCGCGCUCUCCCCUG
This 164-nucleotide small nuclear RNA is filed under the name Erinaceus europaeus (western European hedgehog). Its description in RNAcentral is "U1 spliceosomal RNA". It matches the Rfam family "U1 spliceosomal RNA". From Rfam's summary of the family: U1 is a small nuclear RNA (snRNA) component of the spliceosome (involved in pre-mRNA splicing). Its 5' end forms complementary base pairs with the 5' splice junction, thus defining the 5' donor site of an intron. There are significant differences in sequence and secondary structure between metazoan and yeast U1 snRNAs, the latter being much longer (568 nucleotides as compared to 164 nucleotides in human). Lineage: Eukaryota; Metazoa; Chordata; Mammalia; Eulipotyphla; Erinaceidae. The record is from Rfam by way of RNAcentral.